CUGGCGGCAUGCCUAACACAUGCAAGUCGAACGGGACUCUUACGGACGAGGCUUCGGCCAAGAAAGUUUGAGUUUAGUGGCGGACGGGUGAGUAACGCGUGAGCAACCUGCCUUUCAGAGGGGACAACAGUUGGAAACGACUGCUAAUACCGCAUGAUAUACGAGAGGGGCAUCCCUUUUGUAUCAAAGAUUUAUCGCUGAAAGAUGGGCUCGCGUCUGAUUAGAUAGUUGGCGGGGUAACGGCCCACCAAGUCGACGAUCAGUAGCCGGACUGAGAGGUUGAACGGCCACAUUGGGACUGAGAUACGGCCCAGACUCCUACGGGAGGCAGCAGUGGGGAAUAUUGGUCAAUGGGGGCAAACCCCCUGAACCAGCAAUGCCGCGUGAAGGAAGAAGGCCUUCGGGUUGUAAACUUCUUUGACGAGGGACGAUAAUGACGGUACCUCGAAAACAAGCCACGGCUAACUACGUGCCAGCAGCUGC
This 483-nucleotide ribosomal RNA is filed under the name uncultured bacterium. RNAcentral describes it as "bacterial SSU rRNA". It matches the Rfam family "Bacterial small subunit ribosomal RNA", at positions 36 to 518 of the family's 1533-position model. The record is from RNAcentral.